This 253-nucleotide ribosomal RNA is filed under the name uncultured bacterium. Its description in RNAcentral is "partial 16S ribosomal RNA". It matches the Rfam family "Bacterial small subunit ribosomal RNA", at positions 524 to 776 of the family's 1533-position model. The record is from RNAcentral.
GACGAGUCUGACGAACGUUAUUCGGAAUUACUGGGCUUAAAGGGUGCGUAGGCGGUGGAGUAAGUCGGAUGUGAAAUACCUUAGCUCAACUAAGGAACUGCACUCGAUACUACUUUGCUAGAGUAAGACAGAGGUGAGUGGAACUGAGGGUGGAGCGGUGAAAUGCGUUGAUAUCCUCAGGAACACCGGUGGCGAAGGCGGGUCUCUGGGCCGAAACUGACGCUGAGGAGCGAAAGCGUGGGGAGCAAACAGG